UGGCUGCCAAGGGCUCGCCAUACAAGAUCCGUCCUGUAAACUCCAGUAACGAUGGCAAUUAUACUUGUAUGGCCUGGAACUCACGGACUAAAAGGAACAGUUCUGCUGUGAAGAUGCACCAUGUCAUUGAUUCGGCGUCCUUGUGGUCUAGCCCUGCAGCAGCAAUGGUCGUAGGCACACUUGUAAGUGUAGCUGUUUUGAUGUAAAUGUUGCAGAUGCUCUUUCAUCUCACUGUCAAUGAGCACCACAUGAUUUAACUGAAAGUUGCAUUGGUGCAUGUGCUACUGUAUUUUCCACAGCUUUGUUUUGACUCUGCAAACCCCUCUGGUGCCCUGCACAAACAGGGCUCUAGCUGCAGUAUUUAACAAGUUUAAAAAAGUGAUGGUUGAUCCAUUCUUGAGCUGGACAGGCACAGCAAUGUUAAAAUAGGUGCUUUUUGAGGAGCAAGUCCAUUUUGGAUAAUCCCAAAUGUUUUCAGCUGUACAGACUCAAGAUCAGUGAAGAGUCCAACCAACUUUUCCUGAAGGCAGUGGUGUCCUCCCCUAAAGGUCAUUCAUGAGCUGCUGAGGGAGUUGUGAGCAGUGGGUGCAUCUGGGGCUUUUGAAUUGUUCUUGGGCUUCAUAGGAGGGAAUAGUUUGUCUUGUCAACUGUGUAAUUUUUUUUUAUGGAUGUGACUUGGCUUUGCAUGCAUAGUGGGUGGGUUUGCACUGUAUUUAUGAAAAUUGUCUUAAUUGGUAUUGAAAUGUGUUUUUAAAUGUUUAAUCAU
This is a long non-coding RNA of Polyodon spathula (Mississippi paddlefish), 766 nucleotides long. RefSeq lists it as uncharacterized. The transcript has 3 exons. The record is from RefSeq and is a predicted model, not a curated record. Lineage: Eukaryota; Metazoa; Chordata; Actinopteri; Acipenseriformes; Polyodontidae.